CAGAGUAGAGAUCGGCGCGUGAAUGUGUUCUGCGGACGGGGAGUUGCUGCGGAAACGAAAGGGGAAGACCCUGCGAUGCCGGUUUCGCAUCCCGCUG
This 97-nucleotide non-coding RNA is filed under the name uncultured Ruminococcus sp. Its description in RNAcentral is "THF riboswitch". It matches the Rfam family "THF (Tetrahydrofolate) riboswitch aptamer". Rfam says of the family: THF riboswitch presents a pseudoknot that joins P1-P2 and the loop of P3 and two THF binding. The record is from RNAcentral. Lineage: Bacteria; Bacillati; Bacillota; Clostridia; Eubacteriales; Oscillospiraceae.